CUUGUACACACCGCCCCGUCACACCAUGGGAGCGGGUUCUGCCAGAAGUAGUUAGCCUAACCGCAAGGAGGGCGAUUACCACGGCAGGGUUCGUGACUGGGGUG
Molecule: ribosomal RNA, 104 nt
Filed under: uncultured bacterium
Lineage: Bacteria
Description: partial 16S ribosomal RNA
Rfam family: Bacterial small subunit ribosomal RNA
Source: RNAcentral